GCCAGUUUGGCUCAGUGGAUAGAGCAUCAGCCUGAGGACUCAAGGGUCCCAGGUUCAAUUCCUGGUCAAGGCA
Molecule: non-coding RNA, 73 nt
Organism: Myotis brandtii (Brandt's bat)
Lineage: Eukaryota; Metazoa; Chordata; Mammalia; Chiroptera; Vespertilionidae
Source: Rfam